UGGGGGAUAUUGCACAAUGGGCGAAAGCCUGAUGCAGCGACGCCGCGUGGGGGAUGAAGGCUUUCGGGUUGUAAACCUCUUUCGCUAUCGAACAAGGCCCGCUUAGGGUGGGUUUAGGGUAGGUGGAGAAGAAGCGCCGGCUAACUACGUGCCAGCAGCCGCGGUAAUACGUAGGGCGCGAGCGUUGUCCGGAAUUAUUGGGCGUAUAGGGCUUGUAGGCGGCUUGUUGCGCCUGCUGUGAAAACGCGGGGCUUAACUUCGCGCGUGCAGUGGGUACGGGCAGGCUUGAGUGUGGUAGGGGUGACUGGAAUUCCAGGUGUAGCGGUGGAAUGCGCAGAUAUCUGGAGGAACACCGAUGGCGAAGGCAGGUCACUGGGCCAUUACUGACGCUGAGGAGCGAAAGCAUGGGUAGCGAACAGG
Molecule: ribosomal RNA, 420 nt
Filed under: bacterium
Lineage: Bacteria
Description: partial 16S ribosomal RNA
Rfam family: Bacterial small subunit ribosomal RNA
Source: RNAcentral